AAUACAUGCAAGUCGAGCGAACAGAUAAGGAGCUUGCUCCUUUGACGUUAGCGGCGGACGGGUGAGUAACACGUGGGUAACCUACCUAUAAGACUGGGAUAACUUCGGGAAACCGGAGCUAAUACCGGAUAACAUUUGGAACCGCAUGGUUCUAAAGUGAAAGAUGGUUUUGCUAUCACUUAUAGAUGGACCCGCGCCGUAUUAGCUAGUUGGUAAGGUAACGGCUUACCAAGGCGACGAUACGUAGCCGACCUGAGAGGGUGAUCGGCCACACUGGAACUGAGACACGGUCCAGACUCCUACGGGAGGCAGCAGUAGGGAAUCUUCCGCAAUGGGCGAAAGCCUGACGGAGCAACGCCGCGUGAGUGAUGAAGGGUUUCGGCUCGUAAAACUCUGUUAUUAGGGAAGAACAAACGUGUAAGUAACUGUGCACGUCUUGACGGUACCUAAUCAGAAAGCCACGGCUAACUACGUGCCAGCAGCCGCGGUAAUACGUAGGUGGCAAGCGUUAUCCGGAAUUAUUGGGCGUAAAGCGCGCGUAGGCGGUUUCUUAAGUCUGAUGUGAAAGCCCACGGCUCAACCGUGGAGGGUCAUUGGAAACUGGGAAACUUGAGUGCAGAAGAGGAAAGUGGAAUUCCAUGUGUAGCGGUGAAAUGCGCAGAGAUAUGGAGGAACACCAGUGGCGAAGGCGACUUUCUGGUCUGUAACUGACGCUGAUGUGCGAAAGCGUGGGGAUCAAACAGGAUUAGAUACCCUGGUAGUCCACGCCGUAAACGAUGAGUGCUAAGUGUUAGGGGGUUUCCGCCCCUUAGUGCUGCAGCUAACGCAUUAAGCACUCCGCCUGGGGAGUACGACCGCAAGGUUGAAACUCAAAGGAAUUGACGGGGACCCGCACAAGCGGUGGAGCAUGUGGUUUAAUUCGAAGCAACGCGAAGAACCUUACCAAAUCUUGACAUCCUUUGAAAACUCUAGAGAUAGAGCCUUCCCCUUCGGGGGACAAAGUGACAGGUGGUGCAUGGUUGUCGUCAGCUCGUGUCGUGAGAUGUUGGGUUAAGUCCCGCAACGAGCGCAACCCUUAAGCUUAGUUGCCAUCAUUAAGUUGGGCACUCUAGGUUGACUGCCGGUGACAAACCGGAGGAAGGUGGGGAUGACGUCAAAUCAUCAUGCCCCUUAUGAUUUGGGCUACACACGUGCUACAAUGGACAAUACAAAGGGCAGCUAAACCGCGAGGUCAUGCAAAUCCCAUAAAGUUGUUCUCAGUUCGGAUUGUAGUCUGCAACUCGACUACAUGAAGCUGGAAUCGCUAGUAAUCGUAGAUCAGCAUGGUACGGUGAAUACGUUCCCGGGUCUUGUACACACCGCCCGUCACACCACGAGAGUUUGUAACACCCGAAGCCGGUGGAGUAACCAUUUAUGGAGCUAGCCGUCGAAGGUGGGACA
This 1440-nucleotide ribosomal RNA is filed under the name Staphylococcus saprophyticus. RNAcentral describes it as "bacterial SSU rRNA". It matches the Rfam family "Bacterial small subunit ribosomal RNA". Lineage: Bacteria; Bacillati; Bacillota; Bacilli; Caryophanales; Staphylococcaceae. The record is from RNAcentral.